AUGGAGAUGCGCGCCGUCUCCAACCCCUCCGAGAAAAGGGUCGCUGUUGUUACCGGAGGGAACAAAGGAAUUGGGCUGGAGGUAUGCAAGCAGCUGGCCUCCAAGGGCGUCGUCGUCGUCCUGACGGCGAGAGACGAGACGAGGGGUAAUGAAGCGGCGCGCCGGCUGCACGCGUCCGGGCUAUCCGAUGUGGUGUAUCACAAGCUCGAUGUCAGUGAUCCAUCCAGCGCUGCCCGCCUGGCUGACUUUGUGAAGAACAAGUUCGGCAAGCUAGAUUUAUUGAUCAACAACGCAGGAGUUAUAGGUGCAACCGCAGAGAUUGACACCACGGCACCACUUCAGGAUGUGCUUGUAGGCAGGAAUGCAACGGAGAGGCUCCAGUGGUUACUAGAGCACUCCACGGAGACCUACGACGAAGCUGAAGAAUGCUUGAGAAUAAACUACUUCGGCACCAAGUACGUCACGGAAGCACUCCUCCCUCUCCUUCAGGCCUCCUCUGGCGGAAGACUUGUCAACGUGUCGUCAAACUACGGAUUACUCCGAUAUUUCAGCGGCGAGGACCUCAAGCAGGAGCUGAACAACAUCGAAAACCUGACGAUAGAGAGGCUAGAUGAGAUGUCAAGAUUGUUCCUGAAUGGCUACAAGAAUGGCCUACUGAAAUCUCAAGGAUGGCCUGCUGAUUCAGAGUACUUGGCCUACAAGGUGUCCAAGGCUCUGAUCAAUGGCUACACGAGGAUAAUGGCAAAGAAUUUCCCGGCGUUGCGCGCCAACUCCGUGCACCCUGGCUAUUGCAUGACUGACAUCAACUACGACACUGGAGAACUGACGGCGGAGGAAGGUGCCGGUAGCAUUGUCAUGGUGGCCCUCUUACCGGCAGGAGGACCAACAGGCGUGUUCUUCUACCGUAGUGAAGUUUCACCAUUCGUGUAA
Molecule: ribosomal RNA, 930 nt
Filed under: Triticum aestivum (bread wheat)
Lineage: Eukaryota; Viridiplantae; Streptophyta; Magnoliopsida; Poales; Poaceae
Description: partial small subunit ribosomal RNA
Source: RNAcentral